This 492-nucleotide ribosomal RNA is filed under the name uncultured bacterium. Its description in RNAcentral is "partial 16S ribosomal RNA". It matches the Rfam family "Bacterial small subunit ribosomal RNA", at positions 29 to 507 of the family's 1533-position model. The record is from RNAcentral.
AGUGAACGCUGGCGGUAGGCCUAACACAUGCCAGUCGAACGGCAGCACAGUAAGAGCUUGCUCUUACGGGUGGCGAGUGGCGGACGGGUGAGGAAUACAUCGGAAUCUACUUUUUCGUGGGGGAUAACGUAGGGAGACUUACGCUAAUACUGCAUACGACCUACGGGUGAAAGCAUUGGGUCUUCGGACCUUGCGCCGUUGAAUGAGCCGAUGUCGGAUUAGAUAGUUGGCGGGGUAAAGGCCCACCAAGGCGACGAUCCGGAGCUGGUAUGAGAGGAUGAUACGCCACACUGGAACUGAGACACGGUCCAGACUCCUACGGGAGGCAGCAGUGGGGAAUAUUGGACAAUGGGCGCAAGCCUGAUCCAGCCAUACCGCGUGGGUGAAGAAGGCCUUCGGGUUGUAAAGCCCUUUUGUUGGGAAAGAAAAGCAGCAGGUUAAUACACCGCUGUUCUGACGGUACCCAAAGAAUAAGCCCCGGCUAACUUCGUG